AGAGUUUGAUCAUGGCUCAGAUUGAACGCUGGCGGCAGGCCUAACACAUGCAAGUCGAACGGUAACAGGAAGCAGCUUGCUGCUUUGCUGACGAGUGGCGGACGGGUGAGUAAUGUCUGGGAAACCACCUGAUGGAGGGGGAUAACUACUGGAAACGGUAGCUAAUACCGCAUAACGUCGCAAGACCAAAGAGGGGGACCUUCGGGCCUCUUGCCAUCGGAUGUGCCCAGAUGGGAUUAGCUAGUAGGUGGGGUAACGGCUCACCUAGGCGACGAUCCCUAGCUGGUCUGAGAGGAUGACCAGCCACACUGGAACUGAGACACGGUCCAGACUCCUACGGGAGGCAGCAGUGGGGAAUAUUGCACAAUGGGCGCAAGCCUGAUGCAGCCAUGCCGCGUGUAUGAAGAAGGCCUUCGGGUUGUAAAGUACUUUCAGCGGGGAGGAAGGCGAUAAGGUUAAUAACCUUGUCGAUUGACGUUACCCGCAGAGGAAGCACCGGCUAACUCCGUGCCAGCAGCCGCGGUAAUACGGAGGGUGCAAGCGUUAAUCGGAAUUACUGGGCGUAAAGCGCACGCAGGCGGUCUGUCAAGUCGGAUGUGAAAUCCCCGGGCUCAACCUGGGAACUGCAUUCGAAACUGGUAGGCUAGAGUCUUGUAGAGGGGGGUAGAAUUCCAGGUGUAGCGGUGAAAUGCGUAGAGAUCUGGAGGAAUACCGGUGGCGAAGGCGGCCCCCUGGACA
This 738-nucleotide ribosomal RNA is filed under the name uncultured Enterobacteriaceae bacterium. RNAcentral describes it as "bacterial SSU rRNA". It matches the Rfam family "Bacterial small subunit ribosomal RNA", at positions 8 to 735 of the family's 1533-position model. The record is from RNAcentral. Lineage: Bacteria; Pseudomonadati; Pseudomonadota; Gammaproteobacteria; Enterobacterales; Enterobacteriaceae.